GAGCUAGCUACCGCCUCUUAAAGGGCCAUCAACCCAUUUCACUAAACACCCAGACCUUGGAAGAAUUGGUAGGAACUGUGGCUUCUGCGGCUCAGCCCAAGCCUGAGGGAGAAAGACUGACAGAGAACGAUAUCAAUAUAGAAGAAAGUAGAGCUGAAUGAUGAAGAUGCCUCUGGAUCCCUGGAUCCAUUCAUGCCUGAAUCACCAUGACAUAAUCCUACACUUCUCAAUUUCAUGACCUGAUAAAUUUCCCUUUUGGUUUAAGCCCC
This is a long non-coding RNA of Aethalodelphis obliquidens (Pacific white-sided dolphin), 269 nucleotides long. RefSeq lists it as uncharacterized. The record is from RefSeq and is a predicted model, not a curated record. Lineage: Eukaryota; Metazoa; Chordata; Mammalia; Artiodactyla; Delphinidae. The transcript is spliced from 2 exons.